AUACGGAGGGUGCAAGCGUUACUCGGAAUCACUGGGCGUAAAGCGCGCGCAGGCGGCUAUUUAAGUUGGAUGUGAAAGCCUACGGCUAAACCGUAGAACUGCAUCCAAAACUAUUUAGCUAGAGUGUGGGAGAGGAAGAUGGAAUUAGUUGUGUAGGGGUAAAAUCCGUAGAGAUAACUAGGAAUACCAAAAGCGAAGGCAAUCUUCUGGAACACUACUGACGCUGAGGCGCGAAAGCGUGGGGAGCAAACAGGAUUAGAAACCCCAGUAGUCC
Molecule: ribosomal RNA, 274 nt
Filed under: uncultured bacterium
Lineage: Bacteria
Description: partial 16S ribosomal RNA
Rfam family: Bacterial small subunit ribosomal RNA
Source: RNAcentral